Molecule: transfer RNA, 77 nt
Filed under: Paracoccaceae bacterium
Lineage: Bacteria; Pseudomonadati; Pseudomonadota; Alphaproteobacteria; Rhodobacterales; Paracoccaceae
Also listed under: 3 other names
Description: tRNA-Asp
Rfam family: tRNA
About the family: Transfer RNA (tRNA) molecules are approximately 80 nucleotides in length.
Source: RNAcentral
GCGGUGGUAGCUCAGUCGGUUAGAGUACCGGCCUGUCACGCCGGGGGUCGCGGGUUCGAGUCCCGUCCACCGCGCCA